RNAcentral lists this ribosomal RNA (249 nucleotides) under uncultured Campylobacter sp. RNAcentral describes it as "partial 16S ribosomal RNA". It matches the Rfam family "Bacterial small subunit ribosomal RNA", at positions 505 to 754 of the family's 1533-position model. The record is from RNAcentral. Lineage: Bacteria; Pseudomonadati; Campylobacterota; Epsilonproteobacteria; Campylobacterales; Campylobacteraceae.
GUGCCAGCAGCCGCGGUAAUACGGAGGGUGCAAGCGUUACUCGGAAUCACUGGGCGUAAAGGGCGCGUAGGCGGAUUAUCAAGUCUCUUGUGAAAUCUAAUGGCUUAACCAUUAAACUGCUUGGGAAACUGAUAGUCUAGAGUGAGGGAGAGGCAGAUGGAAUUGGUGGUGUAGGGGUAAAAUCCGUAGAUAUCACCAAGAAUACCCAUUGCGAAGGCGAUCUGCUGGAACUCAACUGACGCUAAGCGC